AAGUUGGCACCAGCUAUGAUAUGGUGAAAGAUACUGGUUAAAUCCUUCACCAGCUUUGAUUGAUUUAGUUUCUUUUAAUCCUUCACCACUAUCAAAAACCUCUUCGAUAUGUGAUUCGGUUCACUCAAGGCACAUUACCACAAAAGUGCUCCUCUUGCACUCCUAGACCACCUGGUGGCAGGUUGGGGUUGUCUGACGAGUUCUUGUAGGGGAAAAGGAAACAAGGGAGAAAAGAGAGAGUACGUAAGAGGAAGCUGAUCUUUAAAAUCUCAAAUUUUUGUAUCGCAUGAUGAAGGAAUGGUGGAUCUACAACACUAGUUGGGCGAUUAUUGGCUCUCUUAAUCCAAGGGAAAUUACAAUUACUAAAUCACUUAACUGGUCAACCUGGUUGACAAAUUAAAUACCAACUUUUCCCCUAAUGCAAGUGAAAGACUGUUAUAAAACGGACAUAAUAAAUACUACAGACAUUAAAGGGCACUGGAGCAAAAGUGCUUGUAGUUACUAGUUGCUCAGAGACAACUUUAUGGCUCAUAUGAUAUCGUGCCACAUUUACUUGUAUGGAUCCCAAUGGGUAUUUGACUAAGUAUACAUGAGUCAUUUCAUUGUUCUUUGUGGUCUUCUCCAAGAACUUUAGGUAGUCGAAGCCGCCGCCACCAUUGCUCUAUAUGCUACUUUGCAUGGAAGGCACUUCCAUACCUUACUCCUGCAAAAUGCUUGGCACAGACAUCUUGGGAGCAGGAUUCAUGAUUUUCCUUCUUACUGUUAUUGGUGACUCACGUGAAAAGGAGUUUAAGAUUUAUUCAACUGGUACUAUACAAGAUAAGAUCAAAAGAUUGACAUACCUAAAAUUUGGUUGGAUUGGUCCAUUGAUUUAAGAAGCAAAAGAAAAAAAGAUCUGGAAAUAUGUUAGGCAUUAUCCUAAGACUAUCCGAUGAUCAAAAAUUCUACUUCAAGAUAUGACAGGGAUACCAUCUCUUGGAGCUCAGCAAAUAAAGGAAAAAGAAAAAGUGAUAAAAAUACUAGAGGAGAAGGAGAGUUUACAGAAGACAGAACUUUCAGAGAAAGAGAUAUCACUGAUUUUCAGAUACCUCAGAGGUCGGAACUCAUAGCUUUUUAUAGACAUCAGUAAACAAUCAUUUCAUCAGUAAACCUCGAAGAGAAGCAAUCAAUCAAAUGGAAUAUGUCUGGUCAAGAAAGCAGUCAUUUCAACACAAAGAAAAAUGACCAUUUAAAAUUUGAUAAAAAUAAAAAGAUAAAUAAAAUAUGAUAAAAGAAAAAAAUAAAAUUUAUCAUACCAUCAUGUGCAUGCAUUGCAUUGGGCCAGGCCAGCACACGCAUGUGUGGUGCAAAGAAAAUUCUUUGUACACCGCAUGCGGUGUAGAAAAAAUGCAUCGCCCCAUCUGAUUGGAUCAUGUAGCUACCGCUUUCUAAUGCACAUUUAAUGUCUGUAAUUUCAUUUCUUCAUUUAAAAUUUUGAAUGAUGAAAAUAUCUCUUUUUUUAUAAAAUUACGAUAUCCUGUGGUCAUAUUAUGACAUCCUACGGUCAAAUUAUGACUUCAUGUUUAUAAUUUGGCCAUAGGAUAUUAUAGGAGAUGAGCAUUUUCGUCAUUGAAAAAUUCUAAAAUUUUUUAAUGAUAAAAAUAUCUUUUCUUCUUUAUGAUUUUU
Molecule: long non-coding RNA, 1665 nt
Filed under: Elaeis guineensis (African oil palm)
Lineage: Eukaryota; Viridiplantae; Streptophyta; Magnoliopsida; Arecales; Arecaceae
Description: long non-coding RNA (EGUI_LNC032775)
Source: RNAcentral